UUCUUGAAAGCUACAGUUGAUAUGUUCAUGCUGUCAAGCAUGUAGUGAAUUUUUACAAUGGUUAGAUACCAAAGAGCACAGAUUAAAUUCUUUGAUGAAUUGUUACAUCGAGCUGAAUUAUGGAGCAUGUAACAGUUUUCAUUGGUGUCAUGUACGUGCCUUGCCUCACUAGUCCCUUCUCUUUUCAGAUUCCGUGCAUUCAUACUUCAGUUCUCUUAAUUUGUUUCCAAAUCUCAUUUUGUGAUUAUUCCUACGUAUGUGACGUGCUUUCUGCUGCAUUCUUGCAUUUGCACAACACCAGAGGUGAUAAUCUUAAAUCCAUGGGGAAUUAAAUUAGUUUAUGUUUGAUGCAUUAUAAAUGUUUUGCUGAGUGGAAAUAAAAAAUAUUUAAAAAAUUGUGGCCUGAAGUUUUCUGGUUCAUAAAUUUCUAUUUUCAUUUUGAAGUAACUCAUGACAUGUAUAAUUUUUAUAUACAGUUAACAGAUGAUAUACAUGAGGAA
Molecule: unclassified non-coding RNA, 500 nt
Filed under: Hevea brasiliensis (rubber tree)
Lineage: Eukaryota; Viridiplantae; Streptophyta; Magnoliopsida; Malpighiales; Euphorbiaceae
Source: RNAcentral